UACGGAGGGUGCGAGCGUUGUCCGGAAUCACUGGGCGUAAAGAGCGCGCAGGCGGUCGUUCAAGUCGAGUGUGAAAGCCCCCGGCUCAACUGGGGAGGGUCACUCGAUACUGAUCGACUCGAAGGCAGAAGAGGGAAGCGGAAUUCCCGGUGUAGUGGUGAAAUGCGUAGAUAUCUGGAGGAACACCGGUGGCGAAGGCGGCAUUCUGGACCGAUAUUGACGCUGAGGAGCGAAAGCCAGGGGAGCAAACGGG
Molecule: ribosomal RNA, 253 nt
Filed under: uncultured bacterium
Lineage: Bacteria
Description: partial 16S ribosomal RNA
Rfam family: Bacterial small subunit ribosomal RNA
Source: RNAcentral